RNAcentral lists this non-coding RNA (46 nucleotides) under Trichobilharzia regenti. Lineage: Eukaryota; Metazoa; Platyhelminthes; Trematoda; Strigeidida; Schistosomatidae. The record is from RNAcentral.
GCAUCUCUGAAGAGUCCCAGACUAGGACGGAACAGCUGUCCAGUAC